This 230-nucleotide ribosomal RNA is filed under the name uncultured microeukaryote. RNAcentral's name for it is "partial 18S ribosomal RNA". It matches the Rfam family "Eukaryotic small subunit ribosomal RNA", at positions 1205 to 1456 of the family's 1831-position model. The record is from RNAcentral.
ACGGGAAAACUUACCAGGUCCAGACAUAGUGAGGAUUGACAGAUUGAGAGCUCUUUCUUGAUUCUAUGGGUGGUGGUGCAUGGCCGUUCUUAGUUGGUGGGUUGCCUUGUCAGGUUGAUUCCGGUAACGAACGAGACCUCAGCCUGCUAAAUAGUCACGGUUGGUUCUCCAGCCGGCGGACUUCUUAGAGGGACUAUUGGCGACUAGCCAAUGGAAGCAUGAGGCAAUAA